This 94-nucleotide small RNA is filed under the name Flavobacterium sp. 123. Its description in RNAcentral is "Flavo-1 RNA". The record is from RNAcentral. Lineage: Bacteria; Pseudomonadati; Bacteroidota; Flavobacteriia; Flavobacteriales; Flavobacteriaceae.
CCCUAGCCCAGAUGAUCCAGAAGUUUCGGGGGGCAUCCUUUUUAUCUCGUUUUGUUGACGAGUUAAAAAGAUAUAGUGGACAGCUGGAAAUAGC